GGGACCCUGGUCCCAGCCGGCAAAGAUGGCCUCUGCUUGCACGCUAUCACUGAGGAGGAGCUUGCGCCCCAUUAGGUAGUUGGUGAGGUAACGGCUCACCAGCCUACGAUGGGUAGCCGGCCUGAGAGGGUGGCCGGCCACACUGGCACGAGACACGGGCCAGACUCCUACGGGAGGCAGCAGUGAGGAAUUUUGGGCAUGGGCGAAAGCCUGACCCAGCGACGCCGCGUGGGUGAUGAAGGCCUUCGGUCGUAAAACCCUGUGAGAUGGGAAGAAGCCGUUUCGUGCUAAUACCAGGCGCGGUGACAGUACCAUCAGAGGAAGCCCCGGCUAACUACGUGCCCGCGGUAAAACGUAA
This 358-nucleotide ribosomal RNA is filed under the name uncultured bacterium. RNAcentral's name for it is "bacterial SSU rRNA". It matches the Rfam family "Bacterial small subunit ribosomal RNA", at positions 183 to 530 of the family's 1533-position model. The record is from RNAcentral.